CACGUAGGCGGCUUUUCAAGUCAGGGGUGAAAUCCCGGGGCUCAACCCCGGAACUGCCCUUGAAACUGGAUGGCUAGAAUCCUGGAGAGGCGAGUGGAAUUCCGAGUGUAGAGGUGAAAUUCGUAGAUAUUCGGAAGAACACCAGUGGCGAAGGCGACUCGCUGGACAGGUAUUGACGCUGAGGUGCGAAAGCGUGGGGAGCAAACA
Molecule: ribosomal RNA, 207 nt
Filed under: uncultured bacterium
Lineage: Bacteria
Description: partial 16S ribosomal RNA
Rfam family: Bacterial small subunit ribosomal RNA
Source: RNAcentral